CCUGGUGGUGGCACACACCUGUAGUCCCCAGCUACUCGGGAGGAUCUCUUGAAUCCAGGAGUUCUGGGCUAUAGUGUGCUAUGCCGAUCAGGUGUCGACACUAAGUUCAGCAUCAAUAUGGUGACGUCCCAGGAGCUGGGGCCCACCAGGUUGCCUAAGGAGGGGUGAACUGGUCCAGCUCAGAAACGGAGCAAGUCAAAACUCCUGUGCUGAUCAAUAGUGAAUUGACCCUGUGAAUAACCACUGUAGACCCGUCUUUUUUUAAAAAAAUU
Unclassified non-coding RNA from Cricetulus griseus (Chinese hamster), 272 nucleotides. It matches the Rfam family "Metazoan signal recognition particle RNA". From Rfam's summary of the family: The signal recognition particle (SRP) is a universally conserved ribonucleoprotein. Lineage: Eukaryota; Metazoa; Chordata; Mammalia; Rodentia; Cricetidae. The record is from Ensembl.